GAUGAACGCUGGCGGCGUGCCUAAUACAUGCAAGUCGAGCGAACAGACGAGGAGCUUGCUCCUUCGACGUUAGCGGCGGACGGGUGAGUAACACGUAGGUAACCUACCUAUAAGACUGGGAUAACUUCGGGAAACCGGAGCUAAUACCGGAUAAUAUUUCGAACCGCAUGGUUCGAUAGUGAAAGAUGGCUUUGCUAUCACUUAUAGAUGGACCUGCGCCGUAUUAGCUAGUUGGUAAGGUAACGGCUUACCAAGGCAACGAUACGUAGCCGACCUGAGAGGGUGAUCGGCCACACUGGAACUGAGACACGGUCCAGACUCCUACGGGAGGCAGCAGUAGGGAAUCUUCCGCAAUGGGCGAAAGCCUGACGGAGCAACGCCGCGUGAGUGAUGAAGGUCUUCGGAUCGUAAAACUCUGUUAUUAGGGAAGAACAAACGUGUGAGUAACUGUUCACGUCUUGACGGUACCUAAUCAGAAAGCCACGGCUAACUACGUG
Molecule: ribosomal RNA, 497 nt
Filed under: uncultured bacterium
Lineage: Bacteria
Description: partial 16S ribosomal RNA
Rfam family: Bacterial small subunit ribosomal RNA
Source: RNAcentral